Molecule: ribosomal RNA, 399 nt
Filed under: uncultured bacterium
Lineage: Bacteria
Description: bacterial SSU rRNA
Rfam family: Bacterial small subunit ribosomal RNA
Source: RNAcentral
AUUGAACGCUGGCGGCAUGCCUUACACAUGCAAGUCGAACGGCAGCACGGGGGCAACCCUGGUGGCGAGUGGCGAACGGGUGAGUAAAGCAUCGGAACGUGCCCUGGAGUGGGGGGAUAACGUAGCGAAAGUUACGCUAAUACCGCAUAUUCUGUGAGCAGGAAAGCAGGGGAUCGCAAGACCUUGCGCUCUGGGAGCGGCCGAUGUCGGAUUAGCUAGUUGGUGGGUAAAGCCUACCAAGGCGACGAUCCGUAGCGGGUCUGAGAGGAUGAUCCGCCACACUGGGACUGAGACACGGCCCAGACUCCUACGGGAGGCAGCAGUGGGGAAUUUUGGACAAUGGGCGAAAGCCUGAUCCAGCCAUGCCGCGUGAGUGAAGAAGGCCUUCGGGUUGUUAAA